This 96-nucleotide small nuclear RNA is filed under the name Ophiophagus hannah (king cobra). Lineage: Eukaryota; Metazoa; Chordata; Lepidosauria; Squamata; Elapidae. The record is from RNAcentral.
GUUUGCUUUGGUGACACAUAUCCUAAAAUUAGGGAAGAUUAGCAUGAUCUCUGCUCCAGGAUGCAAUUCCAAAUUCAUGAAAUGUACAAUAUUUAA